Molecule: ribosomal RNA, 460 nt
Filed under: uncultured bacterium
Lineage: Bacteria
Description: partial 16S ribosomal RNA
Rfam family: Bacterial small subunit ribosomal RNA
Source: RNAcentral
CCUACGGGAGGCAGCAGUGAGGAAUAUUGGUCAAUGGACGAGAGUCUGAACCAGCCAAGUAGCGUGAAGGAUGACUGCCCUAUGGGUUGUAAACUUCUUUUAUAUGGGAAUAAAAUAGGGCAUGCAUACCCUCUUGUAUGUACCAUAUGAAUAAGGAUCGGCUAACUCCGUGCCAGCAGCCGCGGUAAUACGGAGGAUCCGAGCGUUAUCCGGAUUUAUUGGGUUUAAAGGGAGCGUAGGUGGAUGGUUAAGUCAGUUGUGAAAGUUUGCGGCUCAACCGUAAAAUUGCAGUUGAAACUGGCAGGCUUGAGUACAGUAGAGGUGGGCGGAAUUCGUGGUGUAGCGGUGAAAUGCUUAGAUAUCACGAAGAACUCCGAUUGCGAAGGCAGCUCACUGGACUGCAACUGACACUGAUGCUCGAAAGUGUGGGUAUCAAACAGGAUUAGAUACCCCUGUAGUC